Danionella cerebrum is the source of this 71-nucleotide non-coding RNA. NCBI's taxonomy places the organism in Eukaryota, Metazoa, Chordata, Actinopteri, Cypriniformes, Danionidae. The record is from the annotation of a GenBank genome assembly.
UUUCCUGUGGCUUAAUUGGUAGAGCAUUGUGCAAACAACGCAAGGGUCGUGGGUUCAAAUUCCACGGAAAA